AAAAUCCGUAGAUAUCACUAGGAAUACCGAAAGCGAAGGCGAUCUCCUGGAACAAUACUGACGCUAAGGCGUGAAAGCGUGGGGAGCAAACGGGAUUAGAUACCCCGGUAGUCCACGCCCUAAACGAUGAACACUAGUCGUCGGAAUGCUAGUCAUUUCGGUGAUGCACUUAACAGAUUAAGUGUUCCGCCUGGGGAGUACGGUCGCAAGAUUAAAACUCAAAGGAAUAGACGGGGACCCGCACAAGUGGUGGAGCAUGUGGUUUAAUUCGAAGAUACGCGAAGAACCUUACCUAGCCUUGACAUUGAUUGAAUACACCAGAGAUGGAGUAGUGCCUUUCGGGGAACAUGAAAACAGGUGCUGCACGGCUGUCGUCAGCUCGUGUCGUGAGAUGUUGGGUUAAGUCCCGCAACGAGCGCAACCCUCGUCCUUAGUUGCCAGCAGGUUAAGCUGGGCACUCUAAGGAGACUGCCUUCGCAAGGAGGAGGAAGGUGAGGACGACGUCAAGUCAUCAUGGCCCUUAUGGCUAGGGCUACACACGUGCUACAAUGGGGCGUACAGAGAGUUGCGAUACCGCGAGGUGGAGCCAAUCUCAUAAAGCGUCUCUCAGUUCGGAUUGGAGUCUGCAACUCGACUCCAUGAAGCUGGAAUCACUAGUAAUCGUAGAUCAGCAAUGCUACGGUGAAUACGU
Molecule: ribosomal RNA, 691 nt
Filed under: uncultured bacterium
Lineage: Bacteria
Description: bacterial SSU rRNA
Rfam family: Bacterial small subunit ribosomal RNA
Source: RNAcentral